Pelobates cultripes (western spadefoot toad) is the source of this 314-nucleotide non-coding RNA. NCBI's taxonomy places the organism in Eukaryota, Metazoa, Chordata, Amphibia, Anura, Pelobatidae. The record is from the annotation of a GenBank genome assembly.
GGAAAAGAGCCUUGUUUCACAAUUAUUUUAAAAGUCGCUGUAUGGAGAUAUCGAUUCAUUACAGUUAGAUCUUCAGCAAUUUUCAGGUGAGCAAUGUGUCUUCUUUUCUUGAGUUUCAGAGUCUCCUAAGGAGUUUGGGAACAGCCGUUGAUAUAAGAGAAGGCAAUUAAAAUUGAGAGAGAAUCCAUAACCCAAUAAAAAAAAUAAGUGGCUGAUGUGAAUUUAUAGAGAUAUUGAAAUAUGUGGGGAAUUAUUUCAAUUGGUCUAUCAUGCGCAGGCUGAGGAUUAUUUGAGAGAACAUCCUUUUAACAAGA